RNAcentral lists this ribosomal RNA (253 nucleotides) under uncultured bacterium. RNAcentral's name for it is "partial 16S ribosomal RNA". It matches the Rfam family "Bacterial small subunit ribosomal RNA", at positions 524 to 776 of the family's 1533-position model. The record is from RNAcentral.
UACGUAGGGUGCAAGCGUUAAUCGGAAUUACUGGGCGUAAAGCGUGCGCAGGCGGUUUUGUAAGCCAGAUGUGAAAGCCCCGGGCUCAACCUGGGAACUGCAUUUGGGACUGCAAGGCUGGAGUACGGCAGAGGGAGGUGGAAUUCCACGUGUAGCAGUGAAAUGCGUAGAGAUGUGGAGGAGCACCGAUGGCGAAGGCAGCCUCCUGGGCUAGUACUGACGCUCAUGCACGAAAGCGUGGGGAGCAAACAGG